Molecule: ribosomal RNA, 492 nt
Filed under: uncultured bacterium
Lineage: Bacteria
Description: bacterial SSU rRNA
Rfam family: Bacterial small subunit ribosomal RNA
Source: RNAcentral
AUUGAACGCUGGCGGAAUGCUUUACACAUGCAAGUCGAACGGCAGCACGGGGCAACCUGGUGGCGAGUGGCGAACGGGUGAGUAAUACAUCGGAACGUGCCCAAUCGUGGGGGAUAACGUAGCGAAAGCUACGCUAAUACCGCAUACGAUCUACGGAUGAAAGCGGGGGAUCGCAAGACCUCGCGCGAAUGGAGCGGCCGAUGGCAGAUUAGGUAGUUGGUGGGGUAAAGGCUCACCAAGCCUGCGAUCUGUAGCUGGUCUGAGAGGACGACCAGCCACACUGGAACUGAGACACGGUCCAGACUCCUACGGGAGGCAGCAGUGGGGAAUUUUGGACAAUGGGCGCAAGCCUGAUCCAGCCAUUCCGCGUGCAGGAUGAAGGCCCUCGGGUUGUAAACUGCUUUUGUACGGAACGAAAAGGCUUUCUCUAAUACAGGGAGCUCAUGACGGUACCGUAAGAAUAAGCACCGGCUAACUACGUGCCAGCAGCCG